AAAUUGAAGAGUUUGAUCAUGGCUCAGAUUGAACGCUGGCGGCAGGCCUAACACAUGCAAGUCGAACGGUAACAGGAAGCAGCUUGCUGCUUUGCUGACGAGUGGCGGACGGGUGAGUAAUGUCUGGGAAACUGCCUGAUGGAGGGGGAUAACUACUGGAAACGGUGGCUAAUACCGCAUAACGUCGCAAGACCAAAGAGGGGGACCUUCGGGCCUCUUGCCAUCAGAUGUGCCCAGAUGGGAUUAGCUUGUUGGUGAGGUAACGGCUCACCAAGGCGACGAUCCCUAGCUGGUCUGAGAGGAUGACCAGCCACACUGGAACUGAGACACGGCCCAGACUCCUACGGGAGGCAGCAGUGGGGAAUAUUGCACAAUGGGCGCAAGCCUGAUGCAGCCAUGCCGCGUGUAUGAAGAAGGCCUUCGGGUUGUAAAGUACUUUCAGCGGGGAGGAAGGUGUUGUGGUUAAUAACCGCAGCAAUUGACGUUA
This 487-nucleotide ribosomal RNA is filed under the name Salmonella enterica. RNAcentral's name for it is "bacterial SSU rRNA". It matches the Rfam family "Bacterial small subunit ribosomal RNA", at positions 1 to 477 of the family's 1533-position model. The record is from RNAcentral. Lineage: Bacteria; Pseudomonadati; Pseudomonadota; Gammaproteobacteria; Enterobacterales; Enterobacteriaceae.